UGGGGAAUAUUGCACAAUGGGCGCAAGCCUGAUGCAGCCAUGCCGCGUGUGUGAAGAAGGCCUUCGGGUUGUAAAGCACUUUCAGCGAGGAGGAAGGUGGUGAGCUUAAUACGCUCAUCAAUUGACGUUACUCGCAGAAGAAGCACCGGCUAACUCCGUGCCAGCAGCCGCGGUAAUACGGAGGGUGCAAGCGUUAAUCGGAAUUACUGGGCGUAAAGCGCACGCAGGCGGUUUGUUAAGUCAGAUGUGAAAUCCCCGGGCUCAACCUGGGAACUGCAUUUGAAACUGGCAAGCUAGAGUCUCGUAGAGGGGGGUAGAAUUCCAGGUGUAGCGGUGAAAUGCGUAGAGAUCUGGAGGAAUACCGGUGGCGAAGGCGGCCCCCUGGACGAAGACUGACGCUCAGGUGCGAAAGCGUGGGAAGCAAACAGGAUUAGAUACCCUGGUAGUCCACGCUGUAAACGAUGUCGAUUUUGGAGGUUGUGCCCUUGAGGCGUGGCUUCCGGAGCUAACGCGUUAAAUCGACCGCCUGGGGAGUACGGCCGCAAGGUU
RNAcentral lists this ribosomal RNA (549 nucleotides) under uncultured bacterium. RNAcentral's name for it is "partial 16S ribosomal RNA". It matches the Rfam family "Bacterial small subunit ribosomal RNA", at positions 355 to 895 of the family's 1533-position model. The record is from RNAcentral.